This 128-nucleotide microRNA precursor is filed under the name Prunus dulcis (almond). RNAcentral describes it as "sRNA ncRNA". Lineage: Eukaryota; Viridiplantae; Streptophyta; Magnoliopsida; Rosales; Rosaceae. The record is from RNAcentral.
UAAAAGUGUUGAUGAGAGAGGAGGAUAUGAGGGAGGGGUAAUAAAAUUGAAAACUGGAAUAUAUUUGAAAUUGUUUUCACUUUUGUUACUUCCCCCUCCCAUCCUCCCUUCUCAUCAUCUUCUCAAAU